GACGAACGCUGGCGGCGUGCUUAACACAUGCAAGUCGAACGGAAAGGCCCUGCUUUUGUGGGGUGCUCGAGUGGCGAACGGGUGAGUAACACGUGAGUAACCUGCCCUUGACUUUGGGAUAACUUCAGGAAACUGGGGCUAAUACCGGAUAGGAGCUCCUGCUGCAUGGUGGGGGUUGGAAAGUUUCGGCGGUUGGGGAUGGACUCGCGGCUUAUCAGCUUGUUGGUGGGGUAGUGGCUUACCAAGGCUUUGACGGGUAGCCGGCCUGAGAGGGUGACCGGCCACAUUGGGACUGAGAUACGGCCCAGACUGCUACGGGAGGCAGCAGUGGGGAAUCUUGCACAAUGAGCGGAAGCCUGAUGCAGAAACGCCGCGGGCGGGAAGACGGCCUUCGGGUUGUAAACCGCUUUCGCCUGUGACGAAGCGUGAGUGACGGUAAUGGGUAAAGAAGCACCGGCUAACUACGUG
This 468-nucleotide ribosomal RNA is filed under the name uncultured bacterium. Its description in RNAcentral is "partial 16S ribosomal RNA". It matches the Rfam family "Bacterial small subunit ribosomal RNA", at positions 28 to 507 of the family's 1533-position model. The record is from RNAcentral.